GAUGAACGCUGGCGGCGUGCUUAACACAUGCAAGUCGAACGAUGAUGCCCAGCUUGCUGGGUGGAUUAGUGGCGAACGGGUGAGUAACACGUGAGUAACCUGCCCUUGACUCUGGGAUAAGCCUGGGAAACUGGGUCUAAUACCGGAUACGACCAUCUGGCGCAUGUCAUGGUGGUGGAAAGCUUUUGUGGUUUUGGAUGGACUCGCGGCCUAUCAGCUUGUUGGUGGGGUAAUGGCCUACCAAGGCGACGACGGGUAGCCGGCCUGAGAGGGUGACCGGCCACACUGGGACUGAGACACGGCCCAGACUCCUACGGGAGGCAGCAGUGGGGAAUAUUGCACAAUGGGCGCAAGCCUGAUGCAGCGACGCCGCGUGAGGGAUGACGGCCUUCAGGUUGUAAACCUCUUUCAGUAGGGAAGAAGCGAAAGUGACGGUACCUGCAGAAGAAGCGCCGGCUAACUACGUG
RNAcentral lists this ribosomal RNA (467 nucleotides) under uncultured bacterium. Its description in RNAcentral is "partial 16S ribosomal RNA". It matches the Rfam family "Bacterial small subunit ribosomal RNA", at positions 28 to 507 of the family's 1533-position model. The record is from RNAcentral.